This 425-nucleotide ribosomal RNA is filed under the name uncultured bacterium. Its description in RNAcentral is "bacterial SSU rRNA". It matches the Rfam family "Bacterial small subunit ribosomal RNA", at positions 354 to 796 of the family's 1533-position model. The record is from RNAcentral.
GUGGGGAAUAUUGCACAAUGGGGGAAACCCUGAUGCAGCGACGCCGCGUGAGCGAAGAAGUAUUUCGGUAUGUAAAGCUCUAUCAGCAGGGAAGAUAAUGACGGUACCUGACUAAGAAGCUCCGGCUAAAUACGUGCCAGCAGCCGCGGUAAUACGUAUGGAGCAAGCGUUAUCCGGAUUUACUGGGUGUAAAGGGAGCGUAGACGGUUUGGCAAGUCUGAUGUGAAAUUUCAGGGCUUAACCCUGAACCUGCAUUGGAAACUGUCGAACUAGAGUGUCGGAGAGGUGAGUGGAAUUCCUAGUGUAGCGGUGAAAUGCGUAGAUAUUAGGAGGAACACCAGUGGCGAAGGCGGCUCACUGGACGAUAACUGACGUUGAGGCUCGAAAGCGUGGGGAGCAAACAGGAUUAGAAACCCUGGUAGUCC